This 483-nucleotide ribosomal RNA is filed under the name uncultured bacterium. RNAcentral describes it as "partial 16S ribosomal RNA". It matches the Rfam family "Bacterial small subunit ribosomal RNA", at positions 30 to 507 of the family's 1533-position model. The record is from RNAcentral.
AUUGAACGCUGGCGGCAGGCCUAACACAUGCAAGUCGAGCGGAAGAAGGGAGCUUGCUCCUGGAUUCAGCGGCGGACGGGUGAGUAAAGCAUAGGAAUAUGCCUGGCAGUGGGGGAUAACGACUGGAAAAGGGCGCUAAUAACGCAUACGACGUGAGGGAGAAAGAGGGGGGGCGUCGGAAAGCACGCUAUCAGAUGAGCCUAGGUCGGAUUAGCUAGUUGGUGGGGUAAAGGCUUACCAAGGCGAGGAUUCGUAACUGGUCUGAGCGGGUGAGCAGUCACACUGGAGCUGAGACACGGUCCUGACUCCUACGUGAGGCCGCAGUUGGGAAUAGUGGACGAUGUGCGAAAUCCUGAUCCAGCCAUGCCGCGUGUGUGAAGAAAGUCUUCGUGUUGUAAAGCACUUUACGUUGGAGAAAGCGCAUUAAGUUAUUACCUUGCUUUUUUGACGUUACCAACAGAAGAAGCACCGGCUAACUUCGUG